ACUCCUACGGGAGGCAGCAGUGGGGAAUCUUGCGCAAUGGGCGAAAGCCUGACGCAGCCAUGCCGCGUGAAUGAUGAAGGUCUUAGGAUUGUAAAAUUCUUUCACCGGGGACGAUAAUGACGGCACCCGGAGAAGAAGCCCCGGCUAACUUCGUGCCAGCAGCCGCGGUAAUACGAAGGGGGCUAGCGUUGCUCGGAAUUACUGGGCGUAAAGGGAGCGUAGGCGGACAUUUAAGUCAGGGGUGAAAUCCCGGGGCUCAACCUCGGAAUUGCCUUUGAUACUGGGUGUCUUGAGUAUGAGAGAGGUGUGUGGAACUCCGAGUGUAGAGGUGAAAUUCGUAGAUAUUCGGAAGAACACCAGUGGCGAAGGCGACACACUGGCUCAUUACUGACGCUGAGGCUCGAAAGCGUGGGGAGCAAACAGGAUUAGAAACCCCAGUAGUCCCA
RNAcentral lists this ribosomal RNA (446 nucleotides) under uncultured organism. RNAcentral describes it as "partial 16S ribosomal RNA". It matches the Rfam family "Bacterial small subunit ribosomal RNA", at positions 335 to 797 of the family's 1533-position model. The record is from RNAcentral.